This is a long non-coding RNA of Chelonia mydas (Green sea turtle), 150 nucleotides long. RefSeq lists it as uncharacterized. Lineage: Eukaryota; Metazoa; Chordata; Testudines; Cheloniidae. The transcript is spliced from 3 exons. The record is from RefSeq and is a predicted model, not a curated record.
GGGCUCAGAUCACCAAGAGGAGAUGGGAUGCUGAAGUACUUGACAACCAGCAGUGGAAACGCUACCUGGAGGAGAAAUGUAUUCCCUGGCUAAGGAGUUCUCUAGAGUAUGGGAAGGAGACUCUGCGGAGGAAAGUGUGCCCAACAGCUG